CAGAAGUUCUGAGAUUCUUCAGAAUAUUGACAUAUAUACUUGUCAGAAGCCCCGAGAAUUUGAGCACCAACUCCAGUGGAUCUGGGUCCAUGCUGUGCCACUUCCAAGGGCGACAAUUUCUUCCGAAAUGCUGGAUUCUCCACAGAAUACAUGAAACAAAAGCUCUCCUUCCGCUCAGGAAUAGAGACCUUGAAGUACCAACCCUCAAAAAAUUGCCGCGUGGUUCCAUCAAAAUGAUAUCCGCUGUGAGGAGUUCGAAGCUCACGGUUGGGAGGAGUGGCGACAUAAACGGGACUUGCAGAGGCCACACCCUCAGUACCUCCUCUUUCAACAGUCGAAGUUUGACGGUCAGUCACCGAAUUGGAAACCAAGAGUCGGGAC
This 381-nucleotide unclassified non-coding RNA is filed under the name Hevea brasiliensis (rubber tree). The record is from RNAcentral. Lineage: Eukaryota; Viridiplantae; Streptophyta; Magnoliopsida; Malpighiales; Euphorbiaceae.